This 506-nucleotide ribosomal RNA is filed under the name uncultured bacterium. RNAcentral's name for it is "bacterial SSU rRNA". It matches the Rfam family "Bacterial small subunit ribosomal RNA", at positions 501 to 1008 of the family's 1533-position model. The record is from RNAcentral.
CUACGUGCCAGCAGCCGCGGUAAUACGGAGGAUGCGAGCGUUAUCCGGAUUUAUUGGGUUUAAAGGGUGCGUAGGCGGCCUGUUAAGUCAGCGGUGAAAUCUAGGAGCUUAACUCCUAAAUUGCCAUUGAUACUGGCGGGCUUGAGUGUAGAUGAGGUAGGCGGAAUGCGUGGUGUAGCGGUGGAAUGCAUAGAUAUCACGCAGAACUCCGAUUGCGAAGGCAGCUUACUAAGGUACAACUGACGCUGAAGCACGAAAGCGUGGGUAUCAAACAGGAUUAGAUACCCUGGUAGUCCACGCAGUAAACGAUGAUAACUGGGCGUAUGCGAUAUACAGUAUGCUCCUAAGCGAAAGCGUUAAGUUAUCCACCUGGGGAGUACGCCGGCAACGGUGAAACUCAAAGGAAUUGACGGGGGCCCGCACAAGCGGAGGAACAUGUGGUUUAAUUCGAUGAUACGCGAGGAACCUUACCCGGGCUUGAAUUGCAGAGGAGUUAUUUAGAGAUA